CAUCCAGGAAUAUCCAUCAC
RNAcentral lists this non-coding RNA (20 nucleotides) under Arabidopsis thaliana (thale cress). Lineage: Eukaryota; Viridiplantae; Streptophyta; Magnoliopsida; Brassicales; Brassicaceae. The record is from RNAcentral.